GUUAAUCAUCGAAUUUUUGAACGCAAAUUGCACUCUCUGGUAUUCCGGAGAGGAUGCCUGUUUGAGUAUCAGUGUAAAUAUAAAUCGGUUUGUUUGUUGCCUUUCGUGGUGACGCACCGAAUUAGGUUCGUCUUGGCUUCGAUUAAGUGACCUAAAAUAUUGCAAGAUUUUUUUUGAACGUAUUUAAAUGAUUUUACGUACGUUUGCGAUAUGAAAUACUAGGGGUGGUCAUCCUCAUGAUUGUCGCCUAUAAUUUUUCAUCAAAAUUACAUAAAACUA
Molecule: unclassified non-coding RNA, 279 nt
Filed under: Glomus sp.
Lineage: Eukaryota; Fungi; Glomeromycota; Glomeromycetes; Glomerales; Glomeraceae
Description: partial contains 5.8S ribosomal RNA and internal transcribed spacer 2
Rfam family: 5.8S ribosomal RNA (bases 1-71)
Source: RNAcentral